AGGAGUGAGGUGUCUCAAGAAGAAGCUUCUAACUUCCCCCUUAAGCGGUUAAAAUCCGUUUUCACUCCUG
Molecule: transfer RNA, 70 nt
Filed under: Alvinocaris kexueae
Lineage: Eukaryota; Metazoa; Arthropoda; Malacostraca; Decapoda; Alvinocarididae
Description: tRNA-Ser
Source: RNAcentral